This 497-nucleotide ribosomal RNA is filed under the name uncultured bacterium. Its description in RNAcentral is "partial 16S ribosomal RNA". It matches the Rfam family "Bacterial small subunit ribosomal RNA", at positions 28 to 507 of the family's 1533-position model. The record is from RNAcentral.
GAUGAACGCUGGCGGCGUGCCUAAUACAUGCAAGUCGAGCGAACGGACGAGAAGCUUGCUUUUCUGAUGUUAGCGGCGGACGGGUGAGUAAGACGUGGAUAACCAACCUAUAAGACUGGGAUAACUUCGGGAAACCGGAGCUAAUACCGGAUAAUAUGUUGAACCGCAGGGUUCAAAAGUGAAAGACGGUUUGGCUGUCACUUAUAGAUGGAUCCGCGCUGCAUUAGCUAGUUGGUAAGGUAACGGCUUACCAAGGCAACGAUGCAUAGCCGAGCUGAGAGGAUGAUCGGCCACACUGGAACUGAGACACGGUCCAGACUCCUACGGGAGGCAGCAGUAGGGAAUCUUCCGCAAUGGGCGAAAGCCUGACGGAGCCACGCCGCGUGAGUGAUGAAGGUCUUCGGAUCGUAAAACUCUUUUAUUAGGGAAGAACAUAUGUGUAAGUAACUGUGCACAUCUUGACGGUACCUAAUCAGAAAGCCACGGCUAACUACGUG